ACUCAAAGGAAUUGACGGGGGCCCGCACAAGCGGUGGAGCAUGUGGUUUAAUUCGACGCAACGCGAAGAACCUUACCUGGGCUCGAAAUGUAGUGGACCGGAGUAGAAAUAUUCCUUCCUAGCAAUAGGCUGCUAUAUAGGUGCUGCAUGGCUGUCGUCAGCUCGUGUCGUGAGAUGUUGGGUUAAGUCCCGCAACGAGCGCAACCCUUAUUGCCAGUUGCCAUCAUUUAGUUGGGCACUCUGGUGAGACCGCCUCGGAUAACGGGGAGGAAGGUGGGGAUGACGUCAAGUCCUCAUGGCCUUUAUGUCCAGGGCUACACACGUGCUACAAUGGCCGGUACAAACCGUCGCAAACCCGUGAGGGGGAGCUAAUCGGAAAAAGCCGGCCUCAGUUCGGAUUGGAGUCUGCAACUCGACUCCAUGAAGCUGGAAUCGCUAGUAAUCGCGGAUCAGAAUGCCGCGGUGAAUACGUUCCCGGGCCUUGCACACACCGCCCGU
Molecule: ribosomal RNA, 498 nt
Filed under: uncultured bacterium
Lineage: Bacteria
Description: partial 16S ribosomal RNA
Rfam family: Bacterial small subunit ribosomal RNA
Source: RNAcentral